Molecule: RNA transcript, 941 nt
Organism: Otolemur garnettii (small-eared galago)
Lineage: Eukaryota; Metazoa; Chordata; Mammalia; Primates; Galagidae
Gene name: ribose-5-phosphate isomerase pseudogene
Exons: 1
Source: RefSeq, a predicted model, not a curated record
CUGGCCCCCUCCACAAUGUCCAAGGCCGAAGAGCCCAAGAAGCUGGCUGGCCUUGCUGCAGUGGAGAACCACGUGAGGAAUAACCAACCAAGUGCUGGGAAUUGGAAGUGGCUCUACAAUUGUCCAUGCUGUGCAGCGAAUAGCCGAAAGAGUGAAGCAAUAGAAUGUGAACCUCAUCUGCAUUCCCACCUCCUUCCAGGCCCGUCAGCUCAUCCUGGAGCAUGGCCUGACACCCAGGGAUCUGGAUUGACACCCAGAGAUUGACCUCGCCAUUGAUGGUGCUGAUGAAGUAGAUGCUGAUCUCAAUCUCAUCAAGGGUGGUGGAGGCUGCCUGACCCAGGAGAAGAUCAUGGCUGGCUAUGCCAGUCGCUUCAUCGUGAUCGCUGAUUUCAGGAAAGAUUCUAAGAACCUUGGGGAUCAGUGGCACAAGAGAAUCCCCAUUCAGGUCAUACCAAUGGCCUACGUCCCAGUGAGCCGAGCUGUGAGCCAGAAGUUUGGGGGUGCAGUGGUACUUCGAAUGGCUGUUAACAAUGCAGGUCCUGUGGUGACAGAUAAUGGGAAUUUUAUCUUGGAUUGGAAGUUUGACCGGGUACACAAAUGGAGUGAAGUGAACACAGCUAUCAAAAUGAUUCCAGGUGUGGUGGACACAGGUCUGUUCAUCAACAUGGCUGAGAGGGUUUAUUUCCAGAUGCAGGAUGGCUCAGUGAACAUGAGGGAGAAGCCCUUCUCUUGACCCUGCAGAGCAUGUUCAUCUUGAGCCCACAACCAAGUUGGACACACUUCUCCAGGAGCCUUUGCCUUAAUGCAUCUGUGCCAGGGUGAACAACUGGCAGGGCCAGGUGGGGGUGGGAGGUUUAAAUCCAGUCUUCUGAAAUAUUGUUAUUAAGUGUCUUCUUAAAAAGAGAAAUAUAAACAUAUAUUUUUACUAUUUAAAUAUUCAG